RNAcentral lists this ribosomal RNA (879 nucleotides) under uncultured bacterium. RNAcentral describes it as "bacterial SSU rRNA". It matches the Rfam family "Bacterial small subunit ribosomal RNA", at positions 1 to 892 of the family's 1533-position model. The record is from RNAcentral.
CCUUAGAGUUUGAUCCUGGCUCAGGAUGAACGCUGGCGGCGUGCCUAACACAUGCAAGUCGAACGGAAUUUACAUGAAGCCUAGCGAUUGUAAAUUUAGUGGCGGACGGGUGAGUAACGCGUGAGGAACCUGCCUCAAAGAGGGGGACAACAGUUGGAAACGACUGCUAAUACCGCAUAAGCCCACGGGUCGGCAUCGACCAGAGGGAAAAGGAGCAAUCCGCUUUGAGAUGGCCUCGCGUCCGAUUAGCUAGUUGGUGAGGUAAUGGCCCACCAAGGCGACGAUCGGUAGCCGGACUGAGAGGUUGAACGGCCACAUUGGGACUGAGACACGGCCCAGACUCCUACGGGAGGCAGCAGUGGGGAAUAUUGCACAAUGGGGGAAACCCUGAUGCAGCGACGCCGCGUGGAGGAAGAAGGUCUUCGGAUUGUAAACUCCUGUUGUUGGGGAAGAUAAUGACGGUACCCAACAAGGAAGUGACGGCUAACUACGUGCCAGCAGCCGCGGUAAAACGUAGGUCACAAGCGUUGUCCGGAAUUACUGGGUGUAAAGGGAGCGCAGGCGGGAAGACAAGUUGGAAGUGAAAUCUAUGGGCUCAACCCAUAAACUGCUUUCAAAACUGUUUUUCUUGAGUAGUGCAGAGGUAGGCGGAAUUCCCGGUGUAGCGGUGGAAUGCGUAGAUAUCGGGAGGAACACCAGUGGCGAAGGCGGCCUACUGGGCACCAACUGACGCUGAGGCUCGAAAGUGUGGGUAGCAAACAGGAUUAGAUACCCUGGUAGUCCACACCGUAAACGAUGAUUACUAGGUGUUGGAGGAUUGACCCCUUCAGUGCCGCAGUUAACACAAUAAGUAAUCCACCUGGGGAGUACGACCGCAAG